AAGAAUUGAAGAGAGUGUAGAG
Molecule: microRNA, 22 nt
Filed under: Hevea brasiliensis (rubber tree)
Lineage: Eukaryota; Viridiplantae; Streptophyta; Magnoliopsida; Malpighiales; Euphorbiaceae
Description: ppt-miR1023b-3p
Source: RNAcentral